CGGGGGGGGGGGGCAAGCGUUGUUCGGAAUUACUGGGCGUAAAGGGCGCGUAGGCGGUCCCGCAAGUCCUCCGUGAAAUCCCACAGCUCAACUGUGGAACUGCGAGGGAAACUGCAGGACUUGAGUCCGGGAGAGGAGAGUGGAAUUCCCAGUGUAGCGGUGAAAUGCGUAGAUAUUGGGAGGAACACCGGUGGCGAAGGCGGCUCUCUGGACCGGUACUGACGCUGAGGCGCGAAAGCUAGGGGAGCAAACGGGAUUAGAUACCCCGGUAGUCCUAGCCUUAAACGAUGAGCACUUGGUGUGGCGGGUAUCGACCCCUGCCGUGCCGAAGCUAACGCAUUAAGUGCUCCGCCUGGGGAGUACGGUCGCAAAGGCUG
Molecule: ribosomal RNA, 377 nt
Filed under: uncultured organism
Description: partial 16S ribosomal RNA
Rfam family: Bacterial small subunit ribosomal RNA
Source: RNAcentral